RNAcentral lists this ribosomal RNA (166 nucleotides) under Acinetobacter sp. SA-134. Its description in RNAcentral is "partial 16S rRNA". It matches the Rfam family "Bacterial small subunit ribosomal RNA", at positions 218 to 383 of the family's 1533-position model. Lineage: Bacteria; Pseudomonadati; Pseudomonadota; Gammaproteobacteria; Moraxellales; Moraxellaceae. The record is from RNAcentral.
UUAAUAGAUGAGCCUAAGUCGGAUUAACUAGUUGGUGGGGUAAAGGCCUACCAAGGCGACGAUUUGUAGCGGGUUUGAGAGGAUGAUCCGCCACACUGGGACUGAGACCCGGCCCAGACUCCUACGGGAGGCAGCAGUGGGGAAUAUUGGACAAUGGGGGGAACCC